RNAcentral lists this unclassified non-coding RNA (276 nucleotides) under fungal sp. GS35. Its description in RNAcentral is "partial contains 5.8S ribosomal RNA, internal transcribed spacer 2, and large subunit ribosomal RNA". The stretch from base 1 to 71 matches the Rfam family "5.8S ribosomal RNA", at positions 84 to 154 of the family's 154-position model. The record is from RNAcentral. Lineage: Eukaryota; Fungi.
GUGAAUCAUCGAAUCUUUGAACGCACAUUGCACCCCUUGGUAUUCCAGGGGGUAUGCCUGUUCGAGCGUCAUGAAAAAACAUCAAGCACCGCUUGGCAUUGGGCAUCACCUCCGGUGUGCCUCAAAAUCAGUGGCGGCGCCGAUCGGCUUCAAGCGUAGUAAAAUUCUCGCUAUCGGAGCCGGUUGCGGUACCUGCCAAAAGCACCCCAAUUUAAUGUUUGACCUCGGAUCAGGUAGGGAUACCCGCUGAACUUAAGCAUAUCAAUAAGCGGAGGA